UACGUAGGGGGCAAGCGCUAUCCGGAUUUACUGGGUGUAAAGGGGGCGCAGACGGCAGCGCAAGCCAGGAGUGAAAGCCCGGGGCCCAACCCCGGGACUGCUCUUGGAACUGCGCGGCUGGAGUGCAGGAGGGGCAGGCGGAAUUCCUGGUGUAGCGGUGAAAUGCGUAGAUAUCAGGAGGAACACCGGUGGCGAAGGCGGCCUGCUGGACAGCAACUGACGCUGAGGCUCGAAAGCGUGGGGAGCAAACAGG
RNAcentral lists this ribosomal RNA (253 nucleotides) under uncultured bacterium. RNAcentral's name for it is "partial 16S ribosomal RNA". It matches the Rfam family "Bacterial small subunit ribosomal RNA", at positions 524 to 776 of the family's 1533-position model. The record is from RNAcentral.